GAUGAACGCUGGCGGCGUGCUUAACACAUGCAAGUCGAACGGUGAAGCAGAGCUUGCUCUGUGGAUCAGUGGCGAACGGGUGAGUAACACGUGAGCAACCUGCCCCUGACUCUGGGAUAAGCGCUGGAAACGGCGUCUAAUACUGGAUAUGAGAUGCGACCGCAUGGUCAGCAGUUGGAAAGAUUUUUCGGUCUGGGAUGGGCUCACGGCCUAUCCGCUUGUUGGUGAGGUAAUGGCUCACCAAGGCGUCGACGGGUAGCCGGCCUGAGAGGGGGACCGGCCACACUAGGACUGAGACACGGCCCAGACUCCUACGGGAGGCAGCAGUGGGGAAUAUUGCACAAUGGGCGAAAGCCUGAUGCAGCAACGCCGCGUGAGGGAUGACGGCCUUCGGGUUGUAAACCUCUUUUAGCAGGGAAGAAGCGAAAGUGACGGUACCUGCAGAAAAAGCGCCGGCUAACUACGUG
RNAcentral lists this ribosomal RNA (467 nucleotides) under uncultured bacterium. RNAcentral describes it as "partial 16S ribosomal RNA". It matches the Rfam family "Bacterial small subunit ribosomal RNA", at positions 28 to 507 of the family's 1533-position model. The record is from RNAcentral.